Molecule: unclassified non-coding RNA, 202 nt
Filed under: Planchonella brevipes
Lineage: Eukaryota; Viridiplantae; Streptophyta; Magnoliopsida; Ericales; Sapotaceae
Description: partial contains external transcribed spacer and 18S ribosomal RNA
Source: RNAcentral
UAGUUCCCUCGGAUGCAGAACCUUUGAGGGGUGCACAGUUUGUUGCUGUUGUUUACCCCCAAGGCAUUCAUCGAUCGAUGCGUACGACAGCUGCGCCCCGUUUUGGUCCCCUCUCCAAAUUGUUUGGAUGGGUCUCAUGCGGUGCCGGCAUCGGGAAGGAAUGCUACCUGGUUGAUCCUGCCAGUAGUCAUAUGCUUGUCUC